This 492-nucleotide ribosomal RNA is filed under the name uncultured bacterium. Its description in RNAcentral is "partial 16S ribosomal RNA". It matches the Rfam family "Bacterial small subunit ribosomal RNA", at positions 29 to 507 of the family's 1533-position model. The record is from RNAcentral.
AGUGAACGCUGGCGGUAGGCCUAACACAUGCAAGUCGAACGGCAGCACAGUAAGAGCUUGCUCUUACGGGUGGCGAGUGGCGGACGGGUGAGGAAUACAUCGGAAUCUACUUUUUCGUGGGGGAUAACGUAGGGAAACUUACGCUACUACCGCAUACGACCUACGGGUGAAAGCAGGAGAUCUUCGGACCUUGCGCGAUUGAAUGAGCCGAUGUCGGAUUAGCUAGUUGGCGGGGUAAAGGCCCACCAAGGCGACGAUCCGUAGCUGGUCUGAGAGGAUGAUCAGCCACACUGGAACUGAGACACGGUCCAGACUCCUACGGGAGGCAGCAGUGGGGAAUAUUGGACAAUGGGCGCAAGCCUGAUCCAGCCAUACCGCGUGGGUGAAGAAGGCCUUCGGGUUGUAAAGCCCUUUUGUUGGGAAAGAAAAGCAGCAGGUUAAUACCCCGCUGUUCUGACGGUACCCAAAGAAUAAGCACCGGCUAACUUCGUG